This 407-nucleotide ribosomal RNA is filed under the name Hypomicrogaster sp. Costa Rica. Its description in RNAcentral is "partial 16S ribosomal RNA". Lineage: Eukaryota; Metazoa; Arthropoda; Insecta; Hymenoptera; Braconidae. The record is from RNAcentral.
GUCUUAUUGAAAUUAAUUUUAAGUCAAAUCUGCUCANUGAAAUUUAAAUAGCUGCAGUAUAAAUAACUGUACAAAGGUAGCAAAAUAAUUAGUUUUUUAAUUAAAAACUGGAAUGAAAGAUUUAAUGAAAUAUAAACUUUAUUCAAUUUAUUUAAUAAAUUUUUUAAUUAAAUUAAAAUAUUUAAAUAUUUAUUAAAGACGAGAAGACCCUAAAGAAUUUUAUUAAUUUAAAAUUAAAUUUUUAAUUUAAAUUAAUUUAAUUGGGGAAAUUUUAAAAUAAAAUAAACUUUUAAUUAAAUAAACAUUUAUUUUUGAAUAAAUAUUAUUUUAUAAACAAAUAAAAAUAAAUUACCUUAGGGAUAACAGCAUAAUUUUUUUAAAAAGAUCAUAUUUAUAAAAAAGUUUAU